Molecule: non-coding RNA, 225 nt
Organism: Pelobates cultripes (western spadefoot toad)
Lineage: Eukaryota; Metazoa; Chordata; Amphibia; Anura; Pelobatidae
Source: the annotation of a GenBank genome assembly
AGAAGAUUUAUCAAGAUAAACGCAAGUGUUAUUUUGGUUGCUAAGUGCUAAAUGUUAAGAAACAUGGGGAAGAUGUAUCAAAGUGUUCUGUUCUAAAAGGUGGUCUAAAGCACUAAAAGUAGGACAAUCACCAUCUAAACCACUGGAACCAGCUAUCGCAUUUCAUACCUCCUUCAAUUUUACAUGUUUGCACCAUUUUUGGAAUAGAAUAUUCUAAAUAUUUUG